UCAUAUUAGUUUAUUUGAUUACUCCUCUGUCUCGGUGUUUAUGUCUGCUGCUGUGGGUGUAUUUAAUAAUUAAUUUAAGCAUUUAUUUAAUUUGUGUGUUUGGGAGGUCGAGUUGGCUGAGAUGUUUUGUUUGUUCCUUAACCAGUGUUUCAGAGGCAUUUUAUAUUUUCUUUAUUUUAAUUUAUUUCCUAACUCUAAUUUGAUUUAUUUAAAAUGGUGGGGUGGCAAAAUUGGGAAGGGGUAGCAACUAGCAAGGAACAAAUGGAUAUAAUACAUGAUUACAUAUUGUUUAUUAAGCCAUGAAAGGCCUCUCUAACUAUGCUUCCAAGCAAGACAUUCCAAGAGUUGGAGUAUGUUCAAAGAAAGCAGAAACUAAUGAUUUUGACUCAAAGAUUGCACGGAAACAUCCACCUUCAAAUUCAGUUAAGCACAGACAAGUGUAAAAAGAAAACACACUCUAUUUGGAUAAUGAUAACAAAUGUUCUAAAAACACUAAAAAUGAAUAGUUUUAAA
This 513-nucleotide long non-coding RNA is filed under the name Medicago truncatula (barrel medic). RNAcentral describes it as "lncRNA gene28530". Lineage: Eukaryota; Viridiplantae; Streptophyta; Magnoliopsida; Fabales; Fabaceae. The record is from RNAcentral.